UCCGGUUUGGCACCGGCAGUCUCCCUAGAGUUCUCGGCUUUACCCGUUAGUAGCUAAGGGCGAGGGUUGCGCUCGUUGCGGGACUUAACCCAACAUCUCACGACACGAGCUGACGACAGCCAUGCAGCACCUGUGUUCCAGCCAGCCGAACUGAAGAAAGCCAUCUCUGGCGAUCAUACUGGACAUGUCAAAGGUUGGUAAGGUUCUGCGCGUUGCAUCGAAUUAAACCACAUGCUCCACCGCUUGUGCGGGCCCCCGUCAAUUCAUUUGAGUUUUAACCUUGCGGCUGUACUCCCCAGGCGGUCGACUUAACGCGUUAGCUCCGGAAGCCACUCCUCAAGGGAACAACCUCCAAGUCGACAUCGUUUACGGCGUGGACUAC
This 382-nucleotide unclassified non-coding RNA is filed under the name uncultured Pseudomonadota bacterium. RNAcentral describes it as "uncultured proteobacterium contains 16S-23S intergenic spacer region". Lineage: Bacteria; Pseudomonadati; Pseudomonadota. The record is from RNAcentral.